RNAcentral lists this ribosomal RNA (468 nucleotides) under uncultured bacterium. Its description in RNAcentral is "partial 16S ribosomal RNA". It matches the Rfam family "Bacterial small subunit ribosomal RNA", at positions 28 to 507 of the family's 1533-position model. The record is from RNAcentral.
GACGAACGCUGGCGGCGUGCUUAACACAUGCAAGUCGAACGGAAAGGCCCUGCUUUUGUGGGGUGCUCGAUUGGCGAACGGGUGAGUAACACGUGAGUAACCUGCCCUUGUCUUUGGGAUAACUUCAGGAAACUGGGGCUAAUACCGGAUAUGAUCUCCUGCUGCAUGGUGGUGGUUGGAAAGUUUCGGCGGUUGGGGCUGGACUCGCGGCUUAUCCGCUUGUUGGUGGGGUAGUGGCUUACCAAGGCUUUGACGGGUAGCCGGCCUGAGAGGGUGACCGGCCACAUGGGGACUGAGAGAGGGACCAGACUGCAACGGGAGGCAGCAGUGGAGAAUAUUACACAAUGGGCGGAAGCCUGAUGCAGCAACGCCGCGAGCGGGAUGACGGCCUACGGGGUGAAAACAGAUGUCGCCUGUGACGAAGCGUGAGUGACGGUAAUGGGUAAAGAAGCACCGGCUAACUACGUG